ACUCAAAGGAAUAGACGGGGGCCCGCACAAGCGGUGGAGCAUGUGGUUCAAUUCGACGCAACGCGAAGAACCUUACCUGGGCUCGAACGGGUGGUCAACGGAGGCGGAAACGCUUCUACCCCGCAAGGGGGUCCAUCCGAGGUGCUGCAUGGCUGUCGUCAGCUCGUGUCGUGAGAUGUUGGGUUAAGUCCCGCAACGAGCGCAACCCUUGUCCUGUGUUGCCAUCAUUCAGUUGGGAACUCGCAGGAGACCGCCAGCGAUAAGCUGGAGGAAGGUGGGGAUGACGUCAAGUCCUCAUGGCCUUUAUGUCCAGGGCUACACACGUGCUACAAUGGCCGGUACAAAGCGCAGCAAACCCGCGAGGGGGAGCCAAUCGCAAAAAACCGGUCUCAGUUCGGAUUGCAGGCUGCAACUCGCCUGCAUGAAGCUGGAAUCGCUAGUAAUGGCAGAUCAGCACGCUGCCGUGAAUACGUUCCCGGGCCUUGCACACACCGCCCGU
This 499-nucleotide ribosomal RNA is filed under the name uncultured bacterium. RNAcentral's name for it is "partial 16S ribosomal RNA". It matches the Rfam family "Bacterial small subunit ribosomal RNA", at positions 899 to 1397 of the family's 1533-position model. The record is from RNAcentral.